RNAcentral lists this ribosomal RNA (253 nucleotides) under uncultured bacterium. RNAcentral describes it as "partial 16S ribosomal RNA". It matches the Rfam family "Bacterial small subunit ribosomal RNA", at positions 524 to 776 of the family's 1533-position model. The record is from RNAcentral.
GACAGAGGGUGCAAACGUUGUUCGGAAUUACUGGGCGUAAAGCGCGUGUAGGCUGCUCGGAAAGUCGGAUGUGAAAGCCCUGGGCUUAACCUAGGAAGUGCAUUCGAAACUUCCGAGCUGGAGUUCUGGAGAGGAAGGCGGAAUUCUCGGUGUAGAGGUGAGAUUCGUAGAUAUCGAGAGGAACACCGGUGGCGAAGGCGGCCUUCUGGACAGUGACUGACGCUGAGACGCGAAAGCGUGGGGAGCAAACAGG